RNAcentral lists this long non-coding RNA (3423 nucleotides) under Sus scrofa (pig). RNAcentral's name for it is "lncRNA (ENSSSCG00045029150.1)". The record is from RNAcentral. Lineage: Eukaryota; Metazoa; Chordata; Mammalia; Artiodactyla; Suidae.
AGAUUCUCCAAAGAGAGGGAUAUGAUUGGUUCAGUUUUACCCCCUGUGGUAGGCAGAAUAAUGGCCCUGAAAGAUGUCUACCCCCAGAACCCAGGAAUAUGUUGCCCAGUGUGGCAAAAAGGAUUGUUGAAAUGUGAUAAAGACCUUGAAUGAGGAGAUUAUUCAGGUGGAUCCAAUCUAAUCUCAUGGUUUUUUUAAGAGAAUGUUUCGAGGCUGUGGUCAGACAGGAUGAUGUGGGUACCCACAGCUCUUAGGUGGCCAUGUUUCAACAGGGGGAUUCAAUUAGUUUUCUAUUGCUAUUGUAAGAAAUUACCACAAACUCUCUUGGAAGAUUAACGGAAAAGUAAGGACUGGCAUCUCUGUUGCAGUCACACAGCUAACAAUGAACAGUGCUGGGAUCUGACUCCAAAACCUGUGGAGGAAAAGAUCAGCAUCUCUGCAAGAGACCCAGCUGUCUCCUUUCCCCCUAGAGGACUUACGGUCUGUGAGAACCUACGAAAGAAGAUUGUAACAGGCAGGAAUCAUCCUCAGUACAAAUCCUCCAUUUUUAAGGGGUGAAAUUAUUUUGCGCAAUGAUGAGAUUAAUAUCGUUUUUAAACUAUCUAGAAAGGAUAAAAAUCAUAACCCUUUACAAAUGUGCAUAAAUAGUCUGAAAAAUUUAAAGCAUGAGGAGGGACGAGGUUCAAAAGAAAGUGUCGAGGAGGGAAUUUAGUAGCCGCCAAGCGCAACUCUGAACUAAGAUUUUAAAUUACUACAGCAAUUUUGAAAAAUAUCCACAUUCAAAAGCAUUAAUAACUGUGCGAUUAGCAUUUCAUUUUGAUUUUUAUACUGAAGUCAAAGAUGUUGAUGGAGUUGAAAUCCUUGGCACUGUUGCUGUGGCUGUGGAGCUGGAUCCUUGCCACAAAGAGCAUUGAGAGUGAAUGUUGUUUGCAUAUCUCCUGAAGGUCUUGGGAAAUAAUCUAAGAGAAACCAAAAUCUAAAACCUCAAAGAUGUACACUUCUGUCUUCUUUCUGAGAGCCAAGCUACAAUUUGAAUGUCCCCCGGAUAUUUUGGUGACUUAUUUCAAAUCAUUUUGAUGAUGUACUUGGCAGAUGUAAAAUGUAAUUACUCAGAUGAUGUAGAAAUACCAAAUGUUCAUAAUACUUUAAUACAAAGUAAUACAAAUGUUAUUGUUGAAACAAUAUGAAAAUAUCUUAAAAACAAAUUCUCUAAGAGUUCCCAUGGUGACACAGUGGUAAUGAAACUGACUAGUAUCAAUGAGGAUGCAGGUUCAAUCCCUGGCCUCACUCAGUGGGUUAAGGAUCCAGUGUUGCUCUGAGCUGCAGUGGAGGUCACAGAUGUGACUUGGAUCCCUUGUUUCUCUGGCUGUGGUGUAGGCUGGCUAGCUACAACUGCCAGUCUACACCAUAGCCACAGAAACACAAGAUCCGAACUGCAUCUGUGACCUAUAUCACAGUUCAUGGGAAUACCAGAUCCUGACCCACGGAGCGAGGCCAGGGAUCGAACCUGCAACUUCAUGGUUUCUAGUUGGAUUCGUUUCCACUGCACCAUGAUGGGAACACCUAAAGCCACUUUUUGAAUUUUGUAGCACAGUUUUCCAGAACAUGUCAACUUUACUUCCAUCUAAAUUGCUCAAGACACAGCAUGUUUUUAAGCAGGAACCGACACAGUACUGGAAAUUUAUUCCCAGACACAUUUCCUCCUGGAGUCUUCGGGUUGCUUGAGUAUGGGCUGGAGGGCUUUGCACCUGCUAUCCUUGAGCUUCUUUGCCUUGUCCUGGGGAAUCCUUUCCCUCUCUCCAGGGUGAGAACAUCUGCUUCCUAGACCCCCAUGUGUUCUCUUGCAUUCAUUUAUCACCUUAGGGGAACUUCGUCAAGUGGCCUCCUGAGAAAAAGUGCACUAAGGGGAUCUUUUAUGUUUUCAUUGGAUCUCCUUUCCUGCUAUGAUACUUUUUAAUUACCAAGAGCUAUUUUUUAAAAAAUUACAGCUUGUUCUUAUUUAAUAUAUACCAUAUCUUGUCUCUUUCCAGAUAUUAAUAAUAGCUUUUUUGAAUAUUUUUACUUUUUUUUUCAUUUCAUGGAUUAUUUCUUCCAACUUCUUUGUUUGCUUUGUUUUCUCUCAUAUUGAAAAGCUAGGAUCACCUCAGAUGUCUGGUGGUUCUUGGUUAUCUGCUUCUGUUGAAGGAUGGGGCACCAGCAAGCUGCUGGGAAGCCCUGAACACAUCGAUGGCUUUUAUUGACUGUGGGACUUGCUAUGGAAUUAUCUCUGAGUUUUAUUGUUAGGGAAUACACAGUGUCGGUAUGUUUAGGUCUUUUCUUUUGGGGCUGGUCAGAUUUUUCAGAGAAGAAUUUUCCAGUUUCCCGUGUAGAAGUUACAUACCCAAAUGCCACCAUUGUGAGGUCCAAGAGGGCAAUUUAAGAUCCAAAUAUAAGCCUCUUGAGAGAAAAAGGCAGAAUCCAGAACUAUGCAGGUAACUCCAGAAAGUUUGUUUACAUUACUCUCAUGUGACUAAAACUAAUAUUAGACCAUAUAAUCACAUGUUUAAAAGCUCUAAACAUUUAUUUAAGGUCUGUGGAAAUUUUCUUAGGUCUAGCUUUAUAUAUCUGCCUUAGUUCCUCAGUGAUCUAUGAAAAACAUGUUUAUGACUCUAUGAGUAAUAUGCAAAAUGGACAAAGAGUUUGCAAAUUUUCUUAGGGCUUUAGAGACAUCUAAAACCAGUUUAUGUUAUUUUGACAAUUAUUUGGCCAGAGGAUUUUUUUCUUAAAUAGAAACAAAAAUCACAGUAACUUCAAUGGUAUUUCACAAUUACAUAUGUUUUUUAGAGGUUGAUGUCUUCAUUUCCUUUCUUUAUAGCUUCUUUAUAGGUAAUAAGGUCAUAAAUCUCAUUGUAACAAGUAGAAGCAGACAGUUGCAAUUAAGAAGUCAACUUUGUUCUCCAACUCUCUUCAGUCCCAGGUUUCUGAGGUAAACAGUAUGUUUAUACAUCUCCACAGCUUUCUCUGUGCUCAUUUGAACCUGUAUACUAAUAAGUGGGAAUAUAUUUUUGGUUCGUUUUUGUCUUUCACAAGAAUUGGAUCAUGCAAUACACAUUACUUUGUACUCUGGUUUUUACAUGCAAUUUGCACCAUAUUCAUCCCUCUUAAAAAAAAAGAAAUAAGGGGUUGUUGGGAGUUUCUGCUGUGGUGCAGCGGAAACAAAUCUGACUAGUAUCCAUGAGGAUGUGGUUUUGAACCCUGGCCUCACUCAGUGGAUAGGGGAUCUGGCAUUGCCAUGAGCUGUGGAAUAGGUCGCAGAUGCGGCUCGGAUCCCAUGUUGCUGUGGCUGUGAUGUAGGCUGGCAACUGUAGCUCCUAUUCUACCCCUAGCCUGGGAACUUCAUAUGCUGUGGGUGCAGCCCUAAAAACUAAAAAAAAAAAAAAAAAA